CGUUAUGAAGCUAUAUAAGCAUUAACCUUUUAAGUUAAAGACUGGGAAUAUACAUUCCCCAUAACGA
Molecule: transfer RNA, 67 nt
Filed under: Lonchothrix emiliae (tuft-tailed spiny tree rat)
Lineage: Eukaryota; Metazoa; Chordata; Mammalia; Rodentia; Echimyidae
Description: tRNA-Lys
Source: RNAcentral